Lynx canadensis (Canada lynx) is the source of this 1311-nucleotide long non-coding RNA. RefSeq lists it as uncharacterized. The transcript is spliced from 2 exons. NCBI's taxonomy places the organism in Eukaryota, Metazoa, Chordata, Mammalia, Carnivora, Felidae. The record is from RefSeq and is a predicted model, not a curated record.
UCAAAGCACUGAUCUUCAGCAGCUGGAUUCCAGGCCUAACAAGAAUAUGAACAGCUUUAUUACCACCCUGAUCUGUGGCUUACAAAGCUAGUCAAGACCUGUUAAAUCCUAUCAGACUCAUUCAAAGCAAUAUUUUUUGUGUCCAUUUGUACCAACACAAGCUAAUAAACAGUCUCCAAAAUAACUACAUACCAAAUACUAUUAUAAUAAAAAAGAUUGUGAAACUAAAACAAUGUUAAAAGUCAGUUUAGUGGUGUUAGCUUUGGGGAGGAGGGAGGAGGUAAAUGAUUGGAAGGGGACACAGGGAGACCAGAGUAGUAGUUAAAUGAAUGUGUUUACUUCAUAAUUCACUCAACUGCACAAUCAUGACUUAGGCAUUUUUUCCUACAAGUAUACCAAUAAAAAUGUUUUAAAAAAAACUCUACCUCAGCUGAAGAACUGCUUAAAGGAUUACUCCACUUCAAAAAUUCUACCAUAUCUAAGAAUCUAGACCUACCUUAUCCAAUAGCCAAAAAACACAUGUGGCAAGCCCCUGAAAUGCAGCAAAGGCAAACUGAGAUGUGCUGUAACUGUACAAUACCACACUCUGAACACUUAAAGUAAAAAAAUCAUGUAAAAAUCUCAAUUUUAGAUAUACUGGAUAAACAAAAAUGUCACUGACUUCACCUAUUUCUACUAGAAAGUUUAAAAUUACCUUUGUGUCUCACAUUACUGAUCCAUUUAUUGGAUAGCAAUGAUCUUAACAGUAGAACUAGGAUAUUAACUGUGAACAUGCCUCCAAAUGUGUGGUGUCUUUUUAUGUUUAAAAGGAAUUAUAAGAAACAGAUUACCUAUAAAAUACUGACAUAAUUAACCAUAAAAGGUGCACUAGUAAGUCUAAGUAAAUCCAACUCUCUACAAUCUGUUGGACUUUGGUUUUCAUUACACUCAAGACUGACUAGUGCACCAUUCCAUCAAACACUGACUCUAUACCUAGCAUAAACUAACCUGCUCGUUCUGAAUGACUUGGCAAAUACAGGGCUUACAAAAGACAUGUGCACAAUGUGUUAUGACAGGAACCGUUAAAGAAUCCAAGCAAAUUGCACAUUCUUCAUCAGAACCUGAGCUCAGAAUUAACUUCAUCUUCCUUAUUAACUUCUUUCGUAGUUCUUCAGGUGUAUCAUUUCCUAGAGAAAAGGCUGAAAAAUUAAUUUCACAGCAAGAUUUGUAAUAUGACUAGACAAGUUAAUCUUCCUUAUAUGGGGAAAAGUUUUGCUCGGGUAGUCCUUAUUUAGGUUUUUUCUAUCAUAGGCAAAAAGCAUGGUUUAAAUU